RNAcentral lists this transfer RNA (74 nucleotides) under Paramuricea clavata. It matches the Rfam family "tRNA". From Rfam's summary of the family: Transfer RNA (tRNA) molecules are approximately 80 nucleotides in length. Lineage: Eukaryota; Metazoa; Cnidaria; Anthozoa; Malacalcyonacea; Plexauridae. The record is from Rfam by way of RNAcentral.
GACCUUGUAGCUCAGAAGGUAGAGCAGCGUUCUAGAAAUGCGAAGGUCGCGGGUUCGAAUCCCAGCCGCGGUCA